GGUAACCUGCUCAGGUUUUCUUCCACACUGUGGAAGCUUUGUUCUUUGCAAUAAAUCUUGCUACUGCUCACUCUUUGGGUGCAUGCUGCUUUUAUGAGCUGUAACACUCACCGCGAAGAUCUGCAGCUUCACUCCUGAGCCCAGCAAGACCACAAGCCCACCGGAAGGAAUAAACAACUCCAGACACGCUGCUUUAAGAGCUGUGACACUCACUGCGAAGGUCUGCAGCUUCACUCCUGAGCCAGCGAGACCACGAACCCCCCAGAAGGAAGAAACUCCGAACACAUCUGAACAUCAGAAGGGAUAGACUCCAGACGCACCACCUUAAGAGCUGUAACACUCACCGCGAGUGUCUGCGGCUUCAUUCUUGGAGUCAGUGAGGCCAAGAACCCCACAAUUCUGGACACAAUACCACAGAUUGCUUUUCUCCUGAUGGCUCAGUUUCCUCCUCUGUAAAAUGAGAAUAACAGUCACCUUGUAGAAUAGCUGUGUGGGUUAAAUGUGUGUAAAGCAUUUCACAUUCAGUGUUCAGUAAAGACAGCUACUUUCAAGCUUUAAAUGGUAACUAAACAUAAGACCAUGGUGGAAAAGAAAACAUUCAGGAUGCUUCUUUCUUCAUGUUAAUUGUGUUUCCCAUUUUCCAGUCUCUCCUCCUUGCACCUAGGAAAAAACACUCUUGGAGACAGCAGUUCUGUAAAGGAAAUAUCAUAGGACCUGCUUAUUUUUUAUUAUUUUUUUUUUUUGAGAGAGAGUCUUGCUGUGUCACCCAUGCUGGAGUGCAAUCUUGGCUCACUGCAACCUCCGCCUCCAGGUUUCAAGCGAUUCUUCUGCCUCAGCCUCCCAAGUAACUGGAAUUAUAAGUGCAUGCCACCACACCCAGGUGAUUUUCAUAUUUUUUUAGUAGAGACAGGAUUUCACCAUGUUGGCAAGGCUGGUCUCAAACUCCUGAUCUCAAGUGAUCCACCUGCCUCGGCCUCCCGAAGUGCUGGGAUUACAGGCAUGAUCCACUGCACCCAGCCAGGACCAACUUAUUCUUUAUGCAAAACUAUUUUGUUGAUUUCAUGGGAAAUAUUAUUAGUAACAAGAGCUAUAAAUACAAGAUUAGUUUACUAGGGUUGUCAUAACAAAGUAGCACAGAGUAGAUGGUUUAAACAACAGAAAUCUGUUUCCUUGCAGUUCUAGAGGAUAAAUGGUCAAACUCAAGUCAUUGGCAGGUUUGGUUUCAGGCUAAGGCCUCUUUCCUUGGCUCAUAAAUGGUGGUUUUCUUAGUUCAAGCUGCUAUAACAAAUUACCAUAACUGGUUGGUGUGAACAACAAACAUUUAUUUCUCACAAUUCUGGAGGCUGGCAAGUCCAAGAUCAUGGCACUAGCAGACCCAGUGUCUGGUGAGGGCAUGCUUCCUGGUUUACAGGUGGUUACCUUCUCAUUAUAUCCUCACAUGGCAGAAAGCAGACAGAGAGAAAGCUAGCUUUGUCUUCUUAUAGGAGCACCAGUCCCAGCACGAGAGCUCCAUGCUUACAAUUGAAUUACCUGCAAGAGUUCCCCCACCUAAUGCCAUCCCAGGAGGGGUUAGGGUCCAAUAUAAGAAUCUGAGGGGAGGCCGGGGGCAGUGCCUCACACCUGUAAUCCCAGCAAUUUGAGAGGCCAAGGCCAGGGGAUUGCUUGAGCCCAGGAGUUCAAAACCAGCCUGGGCAACAUAGCAAGACCCCAUCCCUACAAAACAAUUUUUAAAAUAGCUGGGCAUGGUAGUGCAUGCCUGUAGUACCAUCUACUUGGGAGGCUGGGGUAGGAGGAUCACUGGA
Molecule: long non-coding RNA, 1802 nt
Filed under: Homo sapiens (human)
Lineage: Eukaryota; Metazoa; Chordata; Mammalia; Primates; Hominidae
Description: HSALNT0362236
Source: RNAcentral